GCGGUGUCCGAGGGGUUGAAGGAGACGGUUUCGAAAACCGUUGAGAUAGCGUGGGUUCCCGCGGGUCGAAUCCCCACACCACCGUG
This 86-nucleotide transfer RNA is filed under the name Treponema sp. RNAcentral describes it as "tRNA-Ser". Lineage: Bacteria; Pseudomonadati; Spirochaetota; Spirochaetia; Treponematales; Treponemataceae. The record is from RNAcentral.